AAGACCCUCCAGCGCCACUGGUCAAUGAGGUAGCUGAAGGGGAUAAAGGCGAUCUUAUCAAGGGCCAUCUUCAUUAGAAAGUUGAUGUCAUACUCUGCCAAGAGAAAGACAGAAGGAACGCAGCCUCAGGCCUGACCUGAAGUCCUUCCUGUUGUAGAAGUCCCAGGCAGAGGCGUGGCACACCACCUCCCGUCCAUCCGUUGGUUUCUCCAGCAUCGACUCCGCCCAGAACUCAGGAGGCAUGGGUGAGAGCCCCAGCGAGGUGAAGAACUCCUCUGAUACCCGGAACAUGUGUGUGGCGUUCCAGCCCUGGCCAGCAGGCGAGGAAACAGGAUCCUUCACUAAGGGGCACAGGCUUCCAGGCUCACAGAAUUCAUGUCCUUAGUUAUGGUCUACAACAAGGCUGCCGCUAAUCCUGACCCUGCAGCCAAAGCCAUCGACUUGACCCCUAGCUCUGCUCCAUUCAAGUUCUCUAUUGGCUCUAAAUUCUUGCACACCCUAAAUAAACCUCCAUGUCCGCGUCUAUAAGGCA
RNAcentral lists this long non-coding RNA (532 nucleotides) under Mus pahari (shrew mouse). Its description in RNAcentral is "lncRNA (MGP_PahariEiJ_G0002636.1)". Lineage: Eukaryota; Metazoa; Chordata; Mammalia; Rodentia; Muridae. The record is from RNAcentral.